UAGCUGUGUCCUUCGGGACAAGGAGACAGGUGGUGGCAUGGUUGUCGUCAGCUCGUGUCGUGAGAUGUUGGGUUAAGUCCCGCAACGAGCGCAACCCCUGUGGUUAGUUGCCAGCAAGUAGCGUUGGGCACUCUAGCCAGACUGCCGGUGAUAAAUCGGAGGAAGGUGGGGACGACGUCAAAUCAUCAUGCCCUUUAUGUCCUGGGCUACACACGUACUACAAUGGCCGUUACAACGGGAAGCGAAGGAGCAAUCCGGAGCAAAUCCCUUAAAGGCGGUCCCAGUUCAGAUUGUGGGCUGAAACUCGCCCACAUGAAGGCGGAAUUGCUAGUAAUUGCAGAUCAGCAUGCUGCAGUGAAUACGUUCCCGGGCCUU
Molecule: ribosomal RNA, 375 nt
Filed under: uncultured Oscillospiraceae bacterium
Lineage: Bacteria; Bacillati; Bacillota; Clostridia; Eubacteriales; Oscillospiraceae
Description: bacterial SSU rRNA
Rfam family: Bacterial small subunit ribosomal RNA
Source: RNAcentral